CCUACGGGAGGCUGCAGUGGGGGAUAUUGCACAAUGGGGGGAACCCUGAUGCAGCGACGCCGCGUGGGUGAAGGAGCGUUUCGGCGCGUAAAGCCCUAUCAGCAGGGAAGAAAAUGACGGUACCUGAGUAAGAAGCCCCGGCUAACUACGUGCCAGCAGCCGCGGUAAUACGUAGGGGGCAAGCGUUAUCCGGAUUUACUGGGCGUAAAGGGAGCGUAGACGGCAGUGUAAGUCUGGAGUGAAAGGCGGGGGCUCAACCCCCGGACUGCUCUUGAAACUGUACGGCUGGAGUGCAGGAGAGGUAAGUGGAAUUCCUAGUGUAGCGGUGAAAUGCGUAGAUAUUGGGAGGAACACCGGUGGCGAAGGUGGAUGACUGGACGGCAACUGACGGUGAGGCGCGAAAGCGUGGGGAGCAAACAGGAUUAGAUACCCGAGUAGUC
This 440-nucleotide ribosomal RNA is filed under the name uncultured bacterium. RNAcentral describes it as "partial 16S ribosomal RNA". It matches the Rfam family "Bacterial small subunit ribosomal RNA", at positions 338 to 795 of the family's 1533-position model. The record is from RNAcentral.